ACGCUAGCUACAGGCUUAACACAUGCAAGUCGAGGGGAAACGACAUCGAAAGCUUGCUUUUGAUGGGCGUCGACCGGCGCACGGGUGAGUAACGCGUAUCCAACCUGCCCACCACUUGGGGAUAACCUUGCGAAAGUAAGACUAAUACCCAAUGACGUCUCUAGAAGACAUCUGAAAGAGAUUAAAGAUUUAUCGGUGAUGGAUGGGGAUGCGUCUGAUUAGCUUGUUGGCGGGGUAACGGCCCACCAAGGCUACGAUCAGUAGGGGUUCUGAGAGGAAGGUCCCCCACAUUGGAACUGAGACACGGUCCAAACUCCUACGGGAGGCAGCAGUGAGGAAUAUUGGUCAAUGGACGAGAGUCUGAACCAGCCAAGUAGCGUGCAGGAUGACGGCCCUAUGGGUUGUAAACUGCUUUUAUAAGGGAAUAAAGUGAGUCUCGUGAGGCUUUUUGCAUGUACCUUAUGAAUAAGGACCGGCUAAUUCCGUGCCAGCAGCCGCGGUAAUACGGAAGGUCCGGGCGUUAUCCGGAUUUAUUGGGUUUAAAGGGAGCGUAGGCCGGAGAUUAAGCGUGUUGUGAAAUGUAGACGCUCAACGUCUGCACUGCAGCGCGAACUGGUUUCCUUGAGUACGCACAAAGUGGGCGGAAUUCGUGGUGUAGCGGUGAAAUGCUUAGAUAUCACGAAGAACUCCGAUUGCGAAGGCAGCUCACUGGAGCGCAACUGACGCUGAAGCUCGAAAGUGCGGGUAUCGAACAGGAUUAGAUACCCUGGUAGUCCGCACGGUAAACGAUGGAUGCCCGCUGUUGGCCUGAAUA
Molecule: ribosomal RNA, 814 nt
Filed under: uncultured bacterium
Lineage: Bacteria
Description: bacterial SSU rRNA
Rfam family: Bacterial small subunit ribosomal RNA
Source: RNAcentral